This 730-nucleotide ribosomal RNA is filed under the name uncultured bacterium. Its description in RNAcentral is "bacterial SSU rRNA". It matches the Rfam family "Bacterial small subunit ribosomal RNA", at positions 66 to 774 of the family's 1533-position model. The record is from RNAcentral.
ACGCGAAAGGCUCCUUCGCGGGGCCGAGUAGAGUGGCGUCCGGGUGAGUAACACGUGGGUAAUCUACCUUCGGGUGGGGAAUAACGUCUCGAAAGAGACGCUAAUACCGCAUAAUGCAGCGGCACCUAAUGGUGACAGUUGUUAAAGCGGGGGAUCGCAAGACCUCGCGCCUGAAGAGGAGCCCGCGGCGGAUUAGCUAGUUGGCAGGGUAACGGCCUACCAAGGCGACGAUCCGUAGCCGGCCUGAGAGGGCGGUCGGCCACACUGGCACUGACACACGGGCCAGACUCCUACGGGAGGCAGCAGUCGGGAAUUUUGGGCAAUGGGCGCAAGCCUGACCCAGCAACGCCGCGUGAAGGAUGAAGCUUUUCGGAGUGUAAACUUCAUAAGAAUGGGACGAAUAAGUGCGGGCUAACAUCCUGCAUGAUGACGGUACCAUUUGUAAGCUCCGGCUAACUCCGUGCCAGCAGCCGCGGUAAUACGGGGGGAGCAAGCGUUGUUCGGAUUUACUGGGCGUAAAGGGCGCGUAGGCGGCGCAACAAGUCGCUUGUGAAAUCUCCGGGCUUAACCCGGAGCGGUCAAGUGAUACUGUCGUGCUAGAGUGCGGAAGGGGCUACUGGAAUUCUCGGUGUAGCGGUGAAAUGCGUAGAUAUCGAGAGGAACACCUGCGGCGGAAGCCGGUAGCUGGGCCGACACUGACGCUGAUGCGCGAAAGCCAGGGGAGCGAACG